AUUGGCUGGCGUUACCCAAACAGGUGAACCUAUCAGUGUUUGUACUUGAUCAUGAUUGGUCAGCUGGGUAAGUUUCAUGAGCCAAUUAGUGCUGGUGAUGUGCAUAUAAAAGGGGGAAGUGUUUGGUUGCUUGGGAUGCAUCCAGAAUACAAUGGGUACUGCCCAGUGUCAUCCUUGGUACCGUCCCUUUGUGACAUGUGGUGCUCCUGAAUGAGUGCAAGCAAUAAGGGCCUGCAAGUAACUGUAAUCCUGUGUGGUGAGCGACCAUGUGUAUUGCAGCCUUGUACUGGUUUCUACUUGUACUGGUUUGAUUGCACAUCCAGGGAUUUCCGGUGACCUUAAUUGAAGCCUUACAAACAUCAAGUGACUGCUCUGCUCUGUUUUGUUAUAGUUUUGUCUGGAAUUCAUCUGGGUCCGUCUGUUAUAUUGUUUUUGUAUUGUUUGAUGCGUGGAUUUAGGUGUGAGGCGUUGGCCAUGGUACCUUGUACUGCGUGUCCACAUGGAGUGCUAUGUUUAAUACUUGAUUUUUCACAAGAGUGCGUGUCAUGGGUAUUGAGUGUGGGGUAGAAAUCUGAUGGUCUUUGCUGGCCACCUCCCUCUUUAUUUUUCUUAUUGUUUUGUAUGUUACUGGUAAAGACUUGUGAUUUAUCAAGACCUUGUGUGAAGUGUUGUAUUCGUUUUAUUAAUUGUAUGUUAAUAAAGU
Molecule: long non-coding RNA, 703 nt
Organism: Cyprinus carpio (common carp)
Lineage: Eukaryota; Metazoa; Chordata; Actinopteri; Cypriniformes; Cyprinidae
Exons: 3
Source: RefSeq, a predicted model, not a curated record